AUAAGCGACUCAGGGCACGAGAUGGAUGCCUUGGGACAUGCCGGCGAUGAAGGACGUAGAAGGCCACGAAAGAUUACGGGGAGCUGCCAAACGAGCGUUGAUCCGUGAGUGUCCGAAUGGGGAAACCCCAUGGAAGUAAUGUUCCAUGAUCAUGAUCUGAGUGAAGUAGGGUCAUGAGGCAGACGGAGUGAAUUGAAACAUCUCAGUAACUCCAGGAAAAGAAAUCAAGCAAGAGAUACCCUUAGUAGCGGCGAGCGAAACGGGUAUAGCCUAAACCUUUAGACGCAAGUUUAAAGGGGUUGCGGGACUUCAACGUGAGACUUUUAUCAGUAACAGAACGCUCUGGGAAGGGCGGCCAAAGAGGGUGAUAGCCCCGUAAGUGAAAUUGAUAAAAGCUCUAGAAGUUUCCCAAGUACCACGGGGCUCGAGUACCCCUGUGGGAAUCUGGGUGGACCAUCAUCCAAGGCUAAAUACGAGCAUGUCACCGAUAGCGUAUAGUACCGUGAGGGAAAGGUGAAAAGAACCCCGUUGAGGGGAGUGAAAUAGAAUCUGAAAUCCCGUGCCUACAAGCGGUGGGAGGGCUAUGCCCCGUAAGGGGAAUGCCUGACCGCGUACCUUUUGCAUAAUGAGCCAGCGAGUUAGUGUCGGUAGCAAGGUUAACCCGUCAAUAGGGGGAGCCGUAGCGAAAGCGAGUCUGAAUAGGGCGAAUGAGUUGUCGGCACUAGACCCGAAACGCGAUGAGCUAGAUAUGACCAGGUUGAAGCGUCCGUAACAGGGCGUGGAGGACCGAACCGGUGCCCGUUGAAAAGGUCUCGGAUGAGUUGUAUUUAGGGGU
RNAcentral lists this ribosomal RNA (835 nucleotides) under Bdellovibrionales bacterium GWC1_52_8. RNAcentral describes it as "bacterial LSU rRNA". It matches the Rfam family "Bacterial large subunit ribosomal RNA", at positions 1 to 822 of the family's 2925-position model. The record is from RNAcentral. Lineage: Bacteria; Pseudomonadati; Bdellovibrionota; Bdellovibrionia; Bdellovibrionales.